UGGCGAACGGCGGAGUAAUACAUGAGGAACGUGCCCUGAAGACUGGGAUAGUCGUUGGAAACGACGGGUAAUACCAGAUGUGGCGAGCUUUUGGCAUCAAGAGCUCACUAAACGGUUUUUCGCUUCAGGAGUGCCUCAUGGCCUAUCAGGUAGUUGGUGAGGUAAUGGCUCACCAAGCCGACGACGGGUAGCGGGUCUCAGAGGAUGAUCCGCUCGAGUGGGACUGAGACACGGCCCACACACCUACGGGUGGCAGCAGUUGGGAAUCUUGCACAAUGGGGGAAACCCUGAUGCAGCGACGCCGCGUGGAGGAUGAAGGGUCUAGGCCUGUAAACUCCUUUUAUGGGGAAAGACUUAGGACGGUACCCCAUGAAUAAGGACCGGCUAACUACGUGCCAGCAGCCGCGGUAAGACGUAGGGUCCAAGCGUUGUCCGGAUUUACUGGGCGUAAAGAGCACGUAGGCGGCUCGUUAAGUGUGAAGUGAAAUCUCUAGGGCUCAACCCAGAAACUGCUUUACAUACUGGCGAGCUAGAGGGAUGCAGAGGCUUGUGGAAUUCCUGGUGUAGCGGUGAAAUGCGUUGAUAUCAGGAGGAACACCCAUGGCGAAGGCAGCAAGCUGGGCAUCAUCUGACGCUGAGGUGCGAAAGCGUGGGUAGCAAACAGGAUUAGAUACCCUGGUAGUCCACGCCCUAAACGAUGGAUACUAGGCGUAAGAGGUAUCGACCCCUCUUGUGCCGCAGCUAACGCAUUAAGUAUCCCGCCUGGGGAGUACGGCCGCAAGGUUGAAACUCAAAUGAAUUGAC
RNAcentral lists this ribosomal RNA (804 nucleotides) under uncultured Actinomycetes bacterium. RNAcentral's name for it is "bacterial SSU rRNA". It matches the Rfam family "Bacterial small subunit ribosomal RNA", at positions 96 to 914 of the family's 1533-position model. The record is from RNAcentral. Lineage: Bacteria; Bacillati; Actinomycetota; Actinomycetes.